RNAcentral lists this ribosomal RNA (527 nucleotides) under uncultured bacterium. RNAcentral describes it as "bacterial SSU rRNA". It matches the Rfam family "Bacterial small subunit ribosomal RNA", at positions 8 to 524 of the family's 1533-position model. The record is from RNAcentral.
AGAGUUUGAUCCUGGCUCAGAUUGAACGCUGGCGGCAUGCCUUACACAUGCAAGUCGAACGGCAGCAUGAUCUAGCUUGCUAGAUUGAUGGCGAGUGGCGAACGGGUGAGUAAUACAUCGGAACGUGCCCUGUAGUGGGGGAUAACUAGUCGAAAGAUUAGCUAAUACCGCAUACGACCUGAGGGUGAAAGUGGGGGACCGCAAGGCCUCAUGCUAUAGGAGCGGCCGAUGUCUGAUUAGCUAGUUGGUGAGGUAAAGGCUCACCAGGGCGACGAUCAGUAGCUGGUCUGAGAGGACGAUCAGCCACACUGGGACUGAGACACGGCCCAGACUCCUACGGGAGGCAGCAGUGGGGAAUUUUGGACAAUGGGCGAAAGCCUGAUCCAGCAAUGCCGCGUGUGUGAAGAAGGCCUUCGGGUUGUAAAGCACUUUUGUCCGGAAAGAAAUGGCUCUGGUUAAUACCUGGGGUCGAUGACGGUACCGGAAGAAUAAGGACCGGCUAACUACGUGCCAGCAGCCGCGGUAAU